This 800-nucleotide long non-coding RNA is filed under the name Volvox carteri. RNAcentral describes it as "long non-coding RNA (VCAR_LNC004144)". Lineage: Eukaryota; Viridiplantae; Chlorophyta; Chlorophyceae; Chlamydomonadales; Volvocaceae. The record is from RNAcentral.
CAUAUGCUUGUCCCGCUUUAUGCCUGUGCACGUGUAUGCGUAACGACAACAGAGAGGGUGUGCGUGUAUGUAUAUAUGUGUGUUUAUCGUGUCUAUGUUAUGUUUUGACGUCUUUCUCUGACACGCAGGCGUCAUCGGCCCCCACGGGGAGAUGGGUGCCGAGUACGGCCUACGUACGCCACGUCAGUCGGGCAGCCGCGGCGCCCCUCCGGAGAAGGAAGGGGUGGCGGUGGCGGCGGCGGCGGGGAAAGUCGGGCGUCGGUCGGCUCAAGGUGAGCUGGGGGUGUGGCGGGGCCCCCCGUGUGGCGGUCGUGAUGGCGGCUAGCUAGCUCGGUUGCCGCGUGUGUUAUGGUUUAGCUGUGUAAAUAUGUAUGUAUGCAUGCAUGUAUGUAUGCAUGUAUGUAUGUACCACUUCCACGUGCAAGGAACGUGAGUGCGACAGGGGGCCCCCUGUGGGCGCCGGGAGGCGGGAAGAGGGGGAAUGUGGUUGUGAGGUUGGUGCAGAAAACCGCAUACACAACUACACGUGACACUCGAUACUCGGCAUGUCCCGGAAACUGCUCUCCACCCGCCACAUAACUCCACCAGGACUAAUACCCGCCGGCAGCACCUUUGCACCCACCAUCCCUCCUCCCUCUCGCCCAACUCCAACCGCCGCUACGCCCUUACAAAACCCUUUUUUUCCACGCGCACACAAACUCAACCAACGUCUCGCUCCACGUCGGCAAUAGAACAGCACAACGCCCACCGCAACCGGACAUAAGGACACCGCCUGCCACUACCAGCGAGGCGUCCGCGGN